UGGGGAAUAUUGGACAAUGGGCGAAAGCCUGAUCCAGCAAUGCCGCGUGAGUGAAGAAGGCCUUAGGGUUGUAAAUCUCUUUUACCCGGGAAGAUAAUGACUGUACCGGGAGAAUAAGCCCCGGCUAACUCCGUGCCAGCAGCCGCGGUAAUACGGAGGGGGCUAGCGUUGUUCGGAAUUACUGGGCGUAAAGCGUACGUAGGCGGCUUUGUAAGUUAGAGGUGAAAGCCCAGGGCUUAACCUUGGAACUGCCUUUAAGACUGCAAAGCUUGAACACGGGAGAGGUGAGUGGAAUUCCGAGUGUAGAGGUGAAAUUCGUAGAUAUUCGGAAGAACACCAGUGGCGAAGGCGGCUCACUGGACCGUUGUUGACGCUGAGGUACGAAAGCGUGGGGAGCAAACAGGAUUAGAUACCCUGGUAGUCCACGCCGUAAACGAUGAUGACUAGCUGUCUGGGCUCUUAGAGCUUAGGUGGCGCAGCUAACGCAUUAAGUCAUCCGCCUGGGGAGUACGGCCGCAA
This 519-nucleotide ribosomal RNA is filed under the name uncultured bacterium. RNAcentral's name for it is "bacterial SSU rRNA". It matches the Rfam family "Bacterial small subunit ribosomal RNA", at positions 355 to 891 of the family's 1533-position model. The record is from RNAcentral.